UUUAUCUGUUCCAAAUUCAUUGGGACUCGUGCAAAGCUAUAAACUUUCACUUUCUUUACUCUCUGUGGUUGUGCUUCCCAGUUUUAUAUACCCAGAAUGAACCUUGCUUUCAUUAAACACUUUCAUUUUAUCUAAUAUAUAUAGUAUAUUUAUUUAUAUACACACUGCAUUUUUUUAACAUUAACCCUGUCUUUGUCUCAACAAAAUUUAGGGUUUACAAUGUGCUCUGCUGCUGCUACAAUGUCUCAAGCAGCUCACCGUGGCCAUUAUAGUUUGCUCUUGCCACUACAUUUUCCUCGGAGUUUGUUUUUGCCAAGAAGGUCCAGGGACAAUGCAACUGGUGCUCGCUAGACUGAUUCUGCUCAAUUCCGGCAUUGACCGUGAACAUAUUAACAGAAAUCAUGGAUUGACAUACUCGAAGUUUGGAGUUAGGGAAUGAAGCCUUUGGUCCUCGUAGCAUAGGUAAAAAUUUAAUGUAAAUUUAUCUAUUUUAAAAUUAUUUAGAUUAUAGAACUAUGUUUCAGCUUGUGUUUCAUCAGUUCUGAUGUUCAUGCCAUUUACUAUUGAUCUUAGAA
This is a long non-coding RNA of Hibiscus syriacus, 575 nucleotides long. RefSeq lists it as uncharacterized. Lineage: Eukaryota; Viridiplantae; Streptophyta; Magnoliopsida; Malvales; Malvaceae. The transcript is spliced from 2 exons. The record is from RefSeq and is a predicted model, not a curated record.